This 433-nucleotide ribosomal RNA is filed under the name uncultured bacterium. RNAcentral's name for it is "partial 16S ribosomal RNA". It matches the Rfam family "Bacterial small subunit ribosomal RNA", at positions 29 to 507 of the family's 1533-position model. The record is from RNAcentral.
AGCGAACGCUGGCGGCAGGCCUAACACAUGCAAGUCGAACGAACUCUUCGGAGUUAGUGGCGGACGGGUGAGUAACACGUGGGAACGUGCCUUUAGGUUCGGAAUAACUCAGGGAAACUUGAGCUAAUACCGGAUGUGCCCUUCGGGGGAAAGAUUUAUCGCCUUUAGAGCGGCCCGCGUCUGAUUAGCUAGUUGGUGAGGUAAAGGCUCACCAAGGCGACGAUCAGUAGCUGGUCUGAGAGGAUGAUCAGCCACAUUGGGACUGAGACACGGCCCAAACUCCUACGGGAGGCAGCAGUGGUGAAUCUUGCGCAAUGGGCGAAAGCCUGACGCAGCCAUGCCGCGUGAAUGAUGAAGGUCUUAGGAUUGUAAAAUUCUUUCACCGGGGACGAUAAUGACGGUACCCGGAGAAGAAGCCCCGGCUAACUUCGUG